This 557-nucleotide transfer RNA is filed under the name uncultured Bartonella sp. RNAcentral describes it as "partial 16S-23S ribosomal RNA intergenic spacer". The stretch from base 167 to 240 matches the Rfam family "tRNA". The record is from RNAcentral. Lineage: Bacteria; Pseudomonadati; Pseudomonadota; Alphaproteobacteria; Hyphomicrobiales; Bartonellaceae.
GGAGCUUUAAGAGAAAUUUUUCCCUAAGAUUUAAGGAAAAUUUUCCUCCCUUAAAAGUGUGCUUUUUCUUUAAGAGAAAAUCUUUUUCUAUAAGAGUGUGUCUCUGUUAAAUAUGAGAUGUCUCUCUCGGAAAUGUGCCGGGGAAGGUUUUCCGGUUUGUCCCGGAGGGCUUGUAGCUCAGUUGGUUAGAGCGCGCGCUUGAUAAGCGUGAGGUCGGAGGUUCAAGUCCUCCCAGGCCCACCAAUUUAGAUUUAUUUAGCCCACUGUUGAGAAAUUUCCUCCUUGAUAAAAAACUCUAAAAUGAGAAAAGCUCUAAAGAGUAGACAAAACUCUUGAAAACCUCAAAUGACGGAUACUCAAAUCCUCCAUAAAGUUUGAGUGAUAAAGUUUAAAUCAUAGAGUUUAGAACCCAUAGAGUUUAAAAUUGUCAGGAAAAUGUUCAUGAUCUCUUUUAUGUGAGAUUAUUGAAAAAUUUGCUAGACGAUCAAGGAACUAGGUAAUCAAGGAAAUUGAUAAUAUCGGGAAAUUGAUAAAGAUCGGUUUUUAGGGUUAGCGCU